GAAGGAUAGGUUAUAAGCGAAUGGUGGAUGCCUUGGGAUAUUGAUGCGACGAAAGACGUGGCGUGCCUGCGAUAAGCAUCGGGGAGGUGGCUAGCAACCUUUGAUCCGGUGAUUUCUGAAUGGGUAAACCCUAUUGUGCAAAACACAAUAACCCGCCGAUGAGGUGGGAGCGCACCCGGUGAAGUGAAACAUCUCAGUAGCCGGAGGAAAAAAGAACGAAGUGAUUCCCUUAGUAGUGGCGAGCGAACAGGGAGAAGUCUAAACCGUUUGAAUUUAUUUCAAACGGGGUUGCAAGGUUAUAGCGUCGGGAGCACUUUUCUGCAGCACUAUGUUGUGCGACAGGAAAAUGUUUGCCGAGGGAGAGUAUUUAGGUGAAAGUUUUAAAAGAAGCACUCUGGAAAGAGGCGCCAUAGGAGGUAAUAGCCCUGUAUUUAAAAAAACUUUUAUGCUCCUUGCUAUUUUUCUUAAGUACUGUCGGGCAUGAUAACCUGGCAGGAAUCAGGCCGAACUAUCGGCCAAGGCUAAAUAAUCAAUAUCACCAAUAGUGAACCAGUACCGUGAGGGAAAGGUGAAAAGUAGGGGGUUGACCCCGGUGAAAUAGUACCUGAAACCAUUUGCUUACAAAGAGUCGGAGCUCCGCAAGGAGUGACGGCGUGCUUUUUGCAGAACGAGCCAACGAGUUUGAAUAGCCAAUAGUCUAAGCCCCUACGGGGCGGAGGCAUAGCGAAAGCGAGUGUGAAUAGCGCGAAAAAUUAUAUUGGAUAUUCAAGACCCGAAGCCAGACGAGCUUACCUUGGGCAGGAUGAAUCUUUCCGAAAGGAAAGAGGAGGUCCGAACCCGUGAGGCGUGCAAUCCUUUGGGAUGACCUGAGGUAAGGAGUGAAAAGCUAAUCGAGUUUGGUAAUAGCUGGUUCUUCCCGAAACAGCUUUGGGGCUGGCGUCUCCAGCCAGAAUAUGGGGGUAGAGCACUGAAUAGAAUUCCGUGGAGUUUCUCCAGGUUUUCUAAUCAAACUCCGAAUACCAUAUUUUUUGUGGAGGCAGUUAGAACGCGGGGGCUAAGCUCCGCGCUCAAAAGAGAAACAGCUCAGAUCAUCGUCUAAGGUCCCUAAAUUAAACUAAGUGUUUUAAAGGAGGUAUUUUGCCCCUGACAGGCAGGAAGUUAGCUUAGAGGUAGCUAUCUUUUAAAGAGUGUGUAACAACUCACUGUCCAAACUUUCCCGUUCUCGGGAAGGAAGGGCGAGGUGCGCCAAAGAUUACCGGGACUAAAGUUUAAUACCGAAGACAUGGAUUUUUCUCCGCUUAGGCGGAGAGGAGUGGUAGGGAAGCAUUCCCAGGGCGUUGAAGCAGGAGGGUAACCGACUGUGGAGCGCUGGGAAGAGAGAAUGUUGGCCUGAGUAACCGCAUUGCAGGUGAGAGCCCUGCACACCGAAAGUCCAAGGUUUCCUUGGCAAUGGUAUUCAACCAAGGGUUAGGCGGUCCUAAGGUAAACCCGAAAGGGGUAGCUGAUGGACAGUGGGUUAAUAUUCCCACCCCUCUUUAUUUUUUCAAUAAAGUGCGGAAUUUAGUAAGCAAGGCGAUUUAUUGGAUUAUCGUCGGCAACAUAACGCAAGAAGUGUUGACGGGAACCUGCCUCAUCGGCGGGGAACCUUGCUGAGCAAGUUUCCUAGAAAAUCUUUAUUUCAAUAGAGUAAAGAGUCCGUACCGCAAACCGACACAGGUGGACAAGCGUAAGUAUGCUAAGGUGAACGGGUGAAACCUCGUUAAGGAACUCGGCAAAUCAGUGGCCGUAAGUUCGCAAUAUGGCCUGCCCUGCACGCAAGUGUUUGGGCUGCAACAAACGUACUUCAACCGACUGUUUAUCAAAAACACAUCUCCCUGCUAACUCGUAAGAGGAUGUAUAGGGGGUGAGGCCUGACCAGUGUUGGAAUGUUAAGUUUGAGGGUCCUAGUUUUCGGAUUAGGGCUCAUUGAAUGAAGCACCAAUGAACGUCGGCGAUAACUAUAAUCGUCCAAAGGUAGCGUAAUCCCUUGCCGGGUAAGCAAAACCGGAAAUUGCUCGGCAUAAUAAAGUUGGCUCAUAACGGAGAAAGCUGAAAAACUUGGACAGUUUUUCUUCCA
This 2116-nucleotide ribosomal RNA is filed under the name Candidatus Staskawiczbacteria bacterium. Its description in RNAcentral is "23S ribosomal RNA". It matches the Rfam family "Bacterial large subunit ribosomal RNA", at positions 1 to 1985 of the family's 2925-position model. Lineage: Bacteria; Candidatus Staskawicziibacteriota. The record is from RNAcentral.